UACAGAGGUCUCAAGCGUUGUUCGGAUUCACUGGGCGUAAAGGGUGCGUAGGCGGUCGGGUAAGUCUGUCGUGAAAUCUCCGAGCCCAACUCGGAAACUGCGUCGGAUACUAUUCGGCUAGAGGAAUGGAGGGGAGACUGGAAUUCUCGGUGUAGCAGUGAAAUGCGUAGAUAUCGAGAGGAACACCAGUGGCGAAGGCGAGUCUCUGGACAUUUCCUGACGCUGAGGCACGAAAGCCAGGGGAGCAAACGGG
This 253-nucleotide ribosomal RNA is filed under the name uncultured bacterium. Its description in RNAcentral is "partial 16S ribosomal RNA". It matches the Rfam family "Bacterial small subunit ribosomal RNA", at positions 524 to 776 of the family's 1533-position model. The record is from RNAcentral.